UACGUAGGGUGCGAGCGUUAAUCGGAUUUACUGGGCUUAAAGCGUGCGCAGGCGGCCCGUUAAGACAGGUGUGAAAUCCCUGGGCUCAACCUAGGAAUUGCGCUUGUGACUGGCGGGCUCGAGUACGGUAGAGGGGGGUGGAAUUCCUGGUGUAGCAGUGAAAUGCGUAGAGAUCAGGAGGAACACCGAUGGCGAAGGCAGCCCCCUGGGCCUGUACUGACGCUCAUGCACGAAAGCGUGGGGAGCAAACAGG
Molecule: ribosomal RNA, 253 nt
Filed under: uncultured microorganism
Description: partial 16S ribosomal RNA
Rfam family: Bacterial small subunit ribosomal RNA
Source: RNAcentral